Molecule: long non-coding RNA, 1517 nt
Filed under: Pan troglodytes (chimpanzee)
Lineage: Eukaryota; Metazoa; Chordata; Mammalia; Primates; Hominidae
Description: lincRNA
Source: RNAcentral
CGAACUCCUGGCCUCAAGUGAUCUGCCUGCUUCGGCCUCCCAAAGUGCUGGGAUUACAGGCAUGAGCUACCGUGCCCUGGCUGCAUAUCUGCCUUCUUCCCAGACCCUACCAAUGCCUUCUCCCUCUUUUUGUGCAUUCUACUUCUUCACCUCCUGAGGGUCUCUCUGGUUCUUGGGGGACAUGCCAGAAGAGGCAGGUGUCAACAUUGCAGAGGCAGAACUGCCUGGGCAUGGAGCGGGCCGCUUCAUCCAGGAAGCACACACAGGGCCGGCACUCCUGGUAUGUUUGACAGAGAGCGUUGGAUUCGACUUGGGGACCUGCAGCGUUGCUCCUAGGGUUGCAGUCCUGUGAGCAAGCAAUGUCGGUUAUGAAGUUCAAGGGGAGAGAGAAGAAAUUGAUGAAAACAGUGGCUCAUCCGGGACUGUCUUCCUUCUCUGGUUUGUGCCUUGACUUCUUCAGAGCUUGGGCCUGAAGGCGUGAGCUCCAUCUCAUUCGCCGCUGGCACACUGGGCCACAAACGGCUCACUAGGUUCUUGGAGUGUGGGAAGUCCAUGCGGUGCUCCUUCUGGAUACGCAGCAUCUUCCUGAUGUUGGAGUCGUCGUAAGGCAUGGAGCUGCAGACCAUGAUGUAGAGGAUCAUGCCCAGGCUCCAGAUGUCAUACACCAUGGGCUGGUAGGGGAUGCCCUGCAGCAGCUCGGGGGCUGCAUAUGCCACCAACCCGCAGAAGUUCUUGCUUAAUCUCUGUUGGCCACUGUCAUCCCGCAGGCAGAGCUUGGAGAACCUGAAGUAGAACAGCUUGAUGUUGAAGUCCUUGUCGAGGAGAAGGUUCUAACACUUGAGGUUCUGGUGCACGAUGUCCAGGUCGUGGCAGUAUUUAAUGGCUGAGGAGAGUUGGUGGAACAUCUUGCACGCCAUGUCCUUGGGCAGGGCUCCCUGGCACUCAAUGAACUAGUUUUUUUUCUGGCCCUGGCUGGGCUCCCAGGGCAGAUCUGGGGCUGGGUGCUAAAGGCGGGGCCUGGAUGCCACCCUGAGCACUGGUGGCUGCUCUGAGGAUAGUACAAGCAGCAGGGGCAGCACUGGAGAGUGUGGCCAUUGUUUUUUCUGGCAGUGGAGCCCCUCUGCUGUGCCAGGCUCUGUGUCCAGCACUUGUUCCGGGCUACGCCCUAGGGGAGUAGGAGUCACAUGACUAUCCUAGCCUUGGAUUUGACUUUGGCCUCAUCCACCUAGAGGGAGUGAGCACCCCUUUCUCACAGGAGCCAAGUGGAACCCUGGGCCCCUCAGGAUGACUUGGUAGGGCGGGCUGGUUGUCACUCAUGUUGGGUUGGGUCCCCACCUGCCGUGGCCCUUCCCCCUUUUCUCUGCUCCUUCACCUUCUUCCCUAACCCUGACUGCCCACUGCCAGGCCUUUGUGCAUUCUUGGUUCUCCUCCUUCCAGACAGCCUCCUUCUCCUUCCCGCUGGGGACACCCCAACUACUGUCUCCUGGAAACCAAAAAUAAAACUCUAACCCCCCAGC